Molecule: ribosomal RNA, 497 nt
Filed under: uncultured bacterium
Lineage: Bacteria
Description: partial 16S ribosomal RNA
Rfam family: Bacterial small subunit ribosomal RNA
Source: RNAcentral
GAUGAACGCUGGCGGCGUGCCUAAUACAUGCAAGUCGAGCGAACGGACGAGAAGCUUGCUUCUCUGAUGUUAGCGGCGGACGGGUGAGUAACACGUGGAUAACCUACCUAUAAGACUGGGAUAACUUCGGGAAACCGGAGCUAAUACCGGAUAAUAUUUUGAACCGCAUGGUUCAAAAGUGAAAGACGGUCUUGCUGUCACUUAUAGAUGGAUCCGCGCUGCAUUAGCUAGUUGGUAAGGUAACGGCUUACCAAGGCAACGAUGCAUAGCCGACCUGAGAGGGUGAUCGGCCACACUGGAACUGAGACACGGUCCAGGCUCCUACGGGAGGCAGCAGUAGGGAAUCUUCCGCAAUGGGCGAAAGCCUGACGGAGCAACGCCACGUGAGUGAUGAAGGUCUUCGGAUCGUAAAACUCUGUUAUGAGGGAAGAACAUAUGUGUAAGUAACUGUGCACAUCUUGACGGUACCGAAUCAGAAAGCCACGGCUAACUACGUG